CCUACGGGUGGCAGCAGUGGGGAAUAUUGGACAAUGGGCGAAAGCCUGAUCCAGCCAUGCCGCGUGUGUGAAGAAGGCCUUCGGGUUGUAAAGCACUUUCAGUGGGGAAGAAAGCCUUGGGGCUAAUACCCUCGAGGAAGGACAUCACCCACAGAAGAAGCACCGGCUAUACUCCGUGCCAGCAGCCGCGGUAAUACGGAGGGUGCGAGCGUUAAUCGGAAUUACUGGGCGUAAAGCGCGCGUAGGCGGUCUGAUAAGCCGGUUGUGAAAGCCCCGGGCUCAACCUGGGAACGGCAUCCGGAACUGUCAGGCUAGAGUGCAGGAGAGGAAGGUAGAAUUCCCGGUGUAGCGGUGAAAUGCGUAGAGAUCGGGAGGAAUACCAGUGGCGAAGGCGGCCUUCUGGACUGACACUGACGCUGAGGUGCGAAAGCGUGGGUAGCAAACAGGAUUAGAUACCCGAGUAGUC
This 466-nucleotide ribosomal RNA is filed under the name Vreelandella stevensii. Its description in RNAcentral is "partial 16S ribosomal RNA". It matches the Rfam family "Bacterial small subunit ribosomal RNA", at positions 338 to 795 of the family's 1533-position model. The record is from RNAcentral. Lineage: Bacteria; Pseudomonadati; Pseudomonadota; Gammaproteobacteria; Oceanospirillales; Halomonadaceae.